RNAcentral lists this long non-coding RNA (1987 nucleotides) under Heterocephalus glaber (naked mole-rat). RNAcentral's name for it is "lncRNA (ENSHGLG00100036849.1)". Lineage: Eukaryota; Metazoa; Chordata; Mammalia; Rodentia; Bathyergidae. The record is from RNAcentral.
CUUAACUAUAAAUUCAUUCAAGAGCUGGUGUACGGGAAGCUACUGGAAGUGUACUGGAAGUUACUGGAAGUGUACUGGAAGUUAUCAAGAGUAUAGCUCUUCAAAUUUUCAGCUUAUAGGUGAGGCUAUUAUCAUGUAACAGAGAACAUGGCUACAAGCACAGAUGGGUUAACAACUCCUGAGGAAGAAGACAACAUCUUUCUCCCCACUGUGCAUAUCUGAAUCCCAGAGCUGCAAUGUGAUUGGACCAGAAGGAUGAGGCCAGGUCUGGGUCAUGUGAUCACUUCUGAAGAAUAGUUAGCAGCUCUGGGAGUACAUACCACAUGACCAGAAGAAAGAAUAUCGGAAAGCUUGUUCAGAAGACCAAAGAGCUAACUAAGACUUCCAUAGGAAUCACCCGGGCUUCAUGAUUAAAGAUGUCUUGGAAUACAAAGGAGCCUUGGGGACAGAGAUUAUGUACAGUAAAGCAACAAAAUAGAAGGAAGCUCGAUAAUUGCACUGAAGAGCAUAUACAAGUCCACACUCACUUCCUUCCAGACGAUCAAACAGAAAAGGAAUAUUUGAUGUGUUGAAGUCACUUUUGGGGAUUGCAGGGAGGUACUUUCUAUGACUUGCAGUUAAGCCAAAUCUUAAUUAAUUAAGAUGGUAUUUCUUAAAUUUGAAGAGAAGAUUCUAAGAGUAUAAAUUUUGUUGCAGGGAAUUUUGAAAAAGAUGUGUUCCACUCUGCUAGGACUACGAAAUUUCUUACCUGUUCGUUCAAGUAAAAGUGUGGAAGAGUUGGGAGACGGAUACUGAUCCUAUGUGGAUAAAGAUGGCUGUGGAUGUUUCCACUUCAGACCUUUGAUCCCAAUGUCUCCUUCUGAAUGUCCUCAACUCCUUCAACUUGCCUCUGGAUGACUGGUGCCUACUCAUCCUUCUGCAUUCAGCUCAAGGGUCAGCAUCUCCAAGAAAACUUGCCCUUCACCUCUCUCCAACCUUAUGGUGGCUUUAGCAUCCAAAAUACCCAGCUCUCAUCUCCAUCACUAUACUUAACCCUACAUGAACAUUCCAGAACUCUGAGGAAUCCCCAAAUAGAUGAGAAUUGCUGCCAAGAAGCUUAGAGUUGAACAAGAUGUUUCACUACAGUAUAUAGCAAAUUUCCUUACAAAUUUUGAGGUGAUCUAAUCUUGGGAGAAGAGAAAAGGAAGGCAAGUAGCAACUUUUAUAAAAGUUAAGUAGUAUCAUUUUUUUUGGUACGGGGGAUCGAACUUGGGACCUUGUGCUUGCAAGGCAGGCGCCGGAACCACUGAGCUAAAUCCCCUGCCCUAGUAUAAUUUUUUUUUAAAAAGCAAGCAAAGCAAUAUUUUACUGGAUAGAAGUUUGUAUAAUUUCUGAUUUUAGGUGAAUUCUGCUCCAUAUAGAAAGCAAGGCAAUUGAGCCUAUAAUAUUAGGUUCCUUUUCUUUGAGAAGGCCUGAGGGAGAAAGAAGCCAAUGAGAAAAGUUCUUGCCUUUGACACAGUGAUUCUUGUAGGCUGAGUGAACAAGUACACACCUUAAGCUCAUGGGCAGGAAAAGUGAAGGAAUGUUCUAAGAGCUAAACAUCAGUUUCUGAGAAUAAAUAUGGUUGACUCAUUCUUAUAUUUUGGAUGAAGUCUUGGAAACAAACCAAAUUCUUUUGACUUUCUCUAAUCCUUUGCUUGGAACCUGCCCAGAACCACGUAAGAGAAUGACUAAUCUGCAUCUGGUAGACACAUAGACUAUGAGAAACCUGCUUGGACUAAGAUGGAACCCUAAUGUGACUUGUAUGAACCGUGACUUAGAAAAUAGAGCAUUGGUUUGGAAAACAGUCCAGUAGUUCCUCCAGGGGUGAAACACUGUUGCCGUUCAACCUACCAAUUGGACACCUAGGGACCUGCCUUCUUUUUGUCCACUUCACCUGACAACUUUCAUUAGUCCAGUAAAUGAAUUAAAGAAGAGAAAUAAAUUGUUUCAUGUUCUUAAAGCAAGG